RNAcentral lists this ribosomal RNA (253 nucleotides) under uncultured bacterium. RNAcentral's name for it is "partial 16S ribosomal RNA". It matches the Rfam family "Bacterial small subunit ribosomal RNA", at positions 524 to 776 of the family's 1533-position model. The record is from RNAcentral.
UACGUAGGGUGCAGGCGUUAAUCGGAAUUACUGGGCGUAAAGCGUGCGCAGGCGGUCUUUUAAGUCAGAUGUGAAAUCCCCGGGCUUAACCUGGGAACUGCAUUUGUGACUGCAUGGCUGGAGUGCGGCAGAGGGGGAUGGAAUUCCGCGUGUAGCAGUGAAAUGCGUAGAUAUGCGGAGGAACACCGAUGGCGAAGGCAAUCCCCUGGGCCUGCACUGACGCUCAUGCACGAAAGCGUGGGGAGCGAACGGG